GAUGAAGAACGUAGCGAAAUGCGAUAAGUAAUGUGAAUUGCAGAAUUCAGUGAAUCAUUGAAUCUUUGAACGCACCUUGCGCUCCUUGGUAUUCCGAGGAGCAUGCCUGUUUGAGUGUCAUUAAAUUCUCAACUUCAUUAUCUUGAUGAAGCUUGGAUGUGGGGGUUGUGCAGAAUGUCUAAUAGUAGUCUGCUCCUCUUAAAUGAAUUAGCAAGUUCAAACUGAGCUCUAUCUCUGGUGUGAUAACUAUCUACACCAUAGAAUAGGCUUAGACUUGCUUCUAACUGUCUGCAAAGACAAUACUUUGACAAUUUGACCUCAAAUCAGGUAGGACUACCCGCUGAACUUAAGCAUAUCAAUAAGCGGAGGA
Molecule: unclassified non-coding RNA, 370 nt
Filed under: soil metagenome
Description: partial contains 5.8S ribosomal RNA, internal transcribed spacer 2, and large subunit ribosomal RNA
Rfam family: 5.8S ribosomal RNA (bases 1-120)
Source: RNAcentral